Molecule: ribosomal RNA, 453 nt
Filed under: uncultured bacterium
Lineage: Bacteria
Description: partial 16S ribosomal RNA
Rfam family: Bacterial small subunit ribosomal RNA
Source: RNAcentral
GAUGAACGCUGACAGAAUGCUUAACACAUGCAAGUCAACUUGAACUUCGGUUUGGGUGGCGGACGGGUGAGUAACGCGUAAAGAACUUGCCUCACAGAUAGGGACAACAUUUGGAAACGAAUGCUAAUACCUGAUAUUAUGAUUAUAUGGCAUCGUAUAAUUAUGAAAGCUAUAUGCGCUGUGAGAGAGCUUUGCGUCCCAUUAGCUAGUUGGAGAGGUAACGGCUCACCAAGGCGAUGAUGGGUAGCCGGCCUGAGAGGGUGAUCGGCCACAAGGGGACUGAGACACGGCCCUUACUCCUACGGGAGGCAGCAGUGGGGAAUAUUGGACAAUGGACCAAGAGUCUGAUCCAGCAAUUCUGUGUGCACGAUGAAGUUUUUCGGAAUGUAAAGUGCUUUCAGUUGGGAGGAAAAAAUGACGGUACCAACAGAAGAAGUGACGGCUAAAUACGUG